CCUACGGGAGACAGCAGUGAGGAAUAUUGGUCAAUGGGAGAGAGCCUGAACCAGCCAAGCCGCGUGAGGGAAGACGGCCCUAUGGGUUGUAAACCUCUUUUGUCGGAGAACAAAACCCGGGACGUGUCCCGCACUGCGUGUCUCCGGAGAAAAAGCAUCGGCUAACUCCGUGCCAGCAGCCGCGGUAAUACGGAGGAUGCGAGCGUUAUCCGGAUUUAUUGGGUUUAAAGGGUGCGUAGGCGGUACGUUAAGUCAGCGGUAAAAUUGCGGGGCUCAACCCCGUCGAGCCGUUGAAACUGCGAUACUUGAGUUGGUGAGAAGUACGCGGAAUGCGCGGUGUAGCGGUGAAAUGCAUAGAUAUCGCGCAGAACUCCGAUUGCGAAGGCAGCGUACCGGCGCCAGACUGACGCUGAGGCACGAAAGCGUGGGGAUCGAACAGGAUUAGAUACCCUUGUAGUC
RNAcentral lists this ribosomal RNA (459 nucleotides) under uncultured bacterium. RNAcentral's name for it is "partial 16S ribosomal RNA". It matches the Rfam family "Bacterial small subunit ribosomal RNA", at positions 338 to 795 of the family's 1533-position model. The record is from RNAcentral.